GCAUGGGUUUGGAUUUAUGACAGACCCGCCCCCCUGGGCCUGUCAUAGUAACCCAUGCCAGAGCAAACUGUGUCCCCAAACCAUUGCCUGGCCUCUGUGCCCGUAGGCUGCUGGCACUGAAGUGGCUUGCACAGUG
This 136-nucleotide small nucleolar RNA is filed under the name Sapajus apella (tufted capuchin). RNAcentral describes it as "Cebus apella (Tufted capuchin) Small nucleolar RNA SNORA42/SNORA80 family". It matches the Rfam family "Small nucleolar RNA SNORA42/SNORA80 family". From Rfam's summary of the family: The members of this family belong to the H/ACA class of snoRNAs that guide the sites of modification of uridines to pseudouridines. Human ACA42 (SNORA42) was cloned from HeLa cells by immunoprecipitation with anti-GAR1 antibody. RNAcentral also lists the same sequence under 1 other name. Lineage: Eukaryota; Metazoa; Chordata; Mammalia; Primates; Cebidae. The record is from Rfam by way of RNAcentral.